UAGGGAAUAUUAGAAAUGGUCGAAAGUCUGAUCUAGCAACACCGCGUGUGCGAAGAAGGCCUUCGGGUUGUAAAGCACUUUUUGGAAGGAUUAGGAAGGAAUGUACUUCCAGAAUAAGUCUCGGCUAACUACGUGCCAGCAGCCGCGGUAACACGUAGGAGGCAAACGUUAUCCGGAUUUACUGGGCGUAAAGCGCGUGUAGGUGGUUCUGUAAGUAGGGCGUGAAAGCUCCUGGCUCAACUGGGAGAGGCCGUUCUAAACUGCA
RNAcentral lists this ribosomal RNA (265 nucleotides) under uncultured bacterium. RNAcentral's name for it is "partial 16S ribosomal RNA". It matches the Rfam family "Bacterial small subunit ribosomal RNA", at positions 355 to 637 of the family's 1533-position model. The record is from RNAcentral.